Molecule: ribosomal RNA, 667 nt
Filed under: uncultured Rhodanobacter sp.
Lineage: Bacteria; Pseudomonadati; Pseudomonadota; Gammaproteobacteria; Lysobacterales; Rhodanobacteraceae
Description: bacterial SSU rRNA
Rfam family: Bacterial small subunit ribosomal RNA
Source: RNAcentral
GUGGCGGACGGGUGAGUAAUGCAUCGGGACCUACCUGAACGUGGGGGAUAACGUAGGGAAACUUACGCUAAUACCGCAUACGUCCUACGGGAGAAAGCGGGGGACCUUCGGGCCUCGCGCGGUCAGACGGACCGAUGUUCGAUUAGCUAGUUGGUAAGGUAAUGGCUUACCAAGGCGACGAUCGAUAGCUGGUCUGAGAGGAUGAUCAGCCACACUGGAACUGAGACACGGUCCAGACUCCUACGGGAGGCAGCAGUGGGGAAUAUUGGACAAUGGGCGCAAGCCUGAUCCAGCAAUGCCGCGUGUGUGAAGAAGGCCUUCGGGUUGUAAAGCACUUUUAUCAGGAACGAAAUACCAUUGGUUAAUACCCGGUGGGGCUGACGGUACCUGAGGAAUAAGCACCGGCUAACUUCGUGCCAGCAGCCGCGGUAAUACGAAGGGUGCAAGCGUUAAUCGGAAUUACUGGGCGUAAAGGGUGCGUAGGCGGUUUGUUAAGUCUGUUGUGAAAUCCCCGGGCUCAACCUGGGAAUGGCAAUGGAUACUGGCAAGCUAGAGUGUGUCAGAGGAUGGUGGAAUUCCCGGUGUAGCGGUGAAAUGCGUAGAGAUCGGGAGGAACAUCAGUGGCGAAGGCGGCCAUCUGGGACAACACUGACGCUGAAGCACGAAA